Molecule: small RNA, 47 nt
Filed under: Drosophila willistoni
Lineage: Eukaryota; Metazoa; Arthropoda; Insecta; Diptera; Drosophilidae
Description: GK27786
Source: RNAcentral
GUCGUGUGUGUGUGUGUGUGUGUGUCGAAAGUUUUUGCGGUGAUUAA